RNAcentral lists this ribosomal RNA (602 nucleotides) under uncultured bacterium. RNAcentral's name for it is "bacterial SSU rRNA". It matches the Rfam family "Bacterial small subunit ribosomal RNA", at positions 279 to 873 of the family's 1533-position model. The record is from RNAcentral.
AUCUGUAGCUGGUUCUGAGAGGACGACCAGCCACACUGGGACUGAGACGCGGCCCAGACUCGUACGGGAGGCAGCAGUGGGGAAUUUUGGACAAUGGGCGCAAGCCUGAUCCAGCAAUGCCGCGUGCAGGAUGGAGGCCUUCGGGUUGUAAACUGCUUUUGUACGGAGCGAAAAGGCUCUCUCUAAUAAAGGGGGCUCAUGACGGUACCGUAAGAAUAAGCACCGGCUAACUACGUGCCAGCAGCCGCGGUAAUACGUAGGGUGCAAGCGUUAAUCGGAAUUACUGGGCGUAAAGCGUGCGCAGGCGGUUAUGUAAGACAGAUGUGAAAUCCCCGGGCUCAACCUGGGACCUGCAUUUGUGACUGCAUAGCUAGAGUGCGGCAGAGGGGGAUGGAAUUCCGCGUGUAGCAGUGAAAUGCGUAGAUAUGCGGAGGAACACCGAUGGCGAAGGCAAUCCCCUGGGCCUGCACUGACGCUCAUGCACGAAAGCGUGGGGAGCAAACAGGAUUAGAUACCCUGGUAGUCCACGCCCUAAACGAUGUCAACUGGUUGUUGGGUCUUCACUGACUCAGUAACGAAGCUAACGCGUGAAGUUGACCGCC